UAUCAGAUACCACCCAUGGAACCCUAGCGUCGCCGCCAAAUCCUCCACCCUUUCCGGUGGUGCCGCCGCCUCCAAUCCACCUCAAAUCAAUACCCCAAAUGCCUCAUACCCUCCCCUUUCCUAAUCCAUAACUCAUUUUCCUCGAAUCUUUCCACAACUCUUCGAAUCUUAAAUCAAAUUUCUGAACCCUAAAAUCUUAAAACCCCAAAUCAGUGAGUUUAAUGAAGGGUUGGGGUCGAAAUUGAUCUUAUUCGUGUGUUUUUGUUUGAGAACACACGAUUAAGGCCCAUUUCGGUCAAAAUUGAAGGCUCGAGGGUUAAUUUUAGAAUUUUGUCCGCCUGGUUCUUAGGUAUUUUCAGCUUUCUUUUUCUUUCUCUCUUUUUUCUUCUUCUUUUUUUCAUUUAAAUGCAGUGUUCGUAUCUUCUCACUUCGUUUCUUCUAUUUUGUCUCUACUGUUUUUGUUUUUGAAUCAUUUUUGCUUGCAUGCUUUAAAUUAAAGUUAAAUAGUUCAUGUUUGUUCUAAUUUCUUUGUUUCUUUGGUGUUAUUUCAUUUUUUUUGGUUUUCAAAAGAAAGGAGUUCUGAGUUUCCCUUGGAAAAUCCUGCUUGGCUCAAUAAAUUAAGGUUUGAAUAUGGGUUCUGCUAAGCAGAGGCCCGGGAAAAAGGAAACAACCCGGGUCUUGCUAGCCUAGGAUUGGGUUUGAACCAUUGGGUCAACUUGACCCAUUUGGUUCCAAGGGUAAAAACAGGGGUCCUAAGAGUUAAUUUAGAAAUUAUAGGUGGGGGAAUCUUAUGUAACUGAAUGGGAAGCUUCCUAGAAGGUCAGGGUUGGGACUAAACUGAAAAACUGAUUUUUAAGCUAAGGAUCGAAGAGCAAAAAUAAAAAUUCAAAAAAUAUUAAAGUGAAAAAGUGAAUUUAUUUUUCUGCUGCCUAAGGCUUACCUAUAAAGGCAUUGUUUCUUCACUCAUAAGUCAAAGAUUAGAGACUAAAAAUUCUGGAAAAAAAUGCAAACGACUGAGCUAAAAAGAACUUCAAAACUCUUGCAUUUUGGUAGAAAUUGAUCUAAUUCUGCAAAUUAGUGUUUCAAUCAUGAAACCUACGAAGGGUUUCUAGCUUAUUCUAGGAUUCAAAGAUGGUUUAAAGGCUGACUGAUCACUGUUUCAUUGCUGAUUUUUGAGUUAUUUUUCUGAUGUUACUUCCCCUUCUGUUGAUUUACUGUUGAUGCUGCUUCCUCCUGAUCUCAAGCUUGAUUUUCUGGUUUUGUUUAGCUAUAUUCAGGUAAAUGUUCCUUAACCUUAUUUAAUGUGAGGUUUGAAUUGAAGAAUGAAAUGGAAAAAUAGAGUUUGAAGCAUGUCCUCAAUUUUGUUUAUGAAUUCAAUUGUAUUUCUUCAUUGUAUGGUGUUUUAAUAGCCUGAUUCGGUGUAUCUUCUAAUUAAUUUUUGGUUUGGAUAAUGGAGUUUUUAUUCUUAUGUUAAUUUGGGACUGUUAAGAUACUACAUUAGAAGGUUUAUUCCAGUUACAUGACCAGCUUUAUUCAUUGAAAGUCGGCAUUUAUCAUGGUGUUGAUUUCAUAUUGAACUUGAAAUAUGACCAGUGUAGUUUGCUAUUUGAAG
RNAcentral lists this long non-coding RNA (1612 nucleotides) under Nicotiana benthamiana. RNAcentral's name for it is "long non-coding RNA (NBEN_LNC040169)". Lineage: Eukaryota; Viridiplantae; Streptophyta; Magnoliopsida; Solanales; Solanaceae. The record is from RNAcentral.